This 73-nucleotide transfer RNA is filed under the name Culex quinquefasciatus (southern house mosquito). It matches the Rfam family "tRNA". Rfam says of the family: Transfer RNA (tRNA) molecules are approximately 80 nucleotides in length. Their secondary structure includes four short double-helical elements and three loops (D, anti-codon, and T loops). The record is from Rfam by way of RNAcentral. Lineage: Eukaryota; Metazoa; Arthropoda; Insecta; Diptera; Culicidae.
GCCCGUGUGGAUCAAUCGGCCGCGCACUGGACUCACAAUCCAGAGGUCGCAGGUUCGAAUCCCGCGGCGGGCG